This 466-nucleotide ribosomal RNA is filed under the name uncultured bacterium. RNAcentral's name for it is "bacterial SSU rRNA". It matches the Rfam family "Bacterial small subunit ribosomal RNA", at positions 28 to 524 of the family's 1533-position model. The record is from RNAcentral.
GAUGAACGCUGGCGGCGUGCCUAAUACAUGCAAGUUGUGCGGUAACAGAGAGAGCUUGCUCUCUGCUGACGAGCGGCGGACGGCAGAGUAACGCGUAGGAACAUACCCCAAACUGAGGGAUAACUGCUCGAAAGAGUAGCUAAUACCGCAUGUGGUCUUCGGAUUAAAAGCUUCGGCGGUUUGGGAGUGGCCUGCGUCCGAUUAGCUAGUUGGUGAGGUAAUUGCUCACCAAGGCGACGAUCGGUAGCUGGUCUGAGAGGAUGAUCAGCCUGACUGGAACUGAGAACGGUCCAGACUCCUACGGGAGGCAGCAGUAGGGAAUUUUCCACAAUGGGCGAAAGCCUGAUGGAGCAACGCCGCGUGCAGGAUGAAUGCCUUCGGGUUGUAAACUGCUUUUCUGUGUGAAGAAUAUGACGGUAACACAGGAAUAAGGGUCGGCUAACUACGUGCCAGCAGCCGCGGUAAU